GUGGGGAAUCUUCCACAAUGGACGAAAGUCUGAUGGAGCAACGCCGCGUGAGUGAAGAAGGGUUUCGGCUCGUAAAGCUCUGUUGUCGGGGACGAAUGUGCAGUAUUUGAAUAAAGUACUGCAAUGACGGUACCUGACGAGGAAGCCACGGCUAACUACGUGCCAGCAGCCGCGGUAAUACGUAGGUGGCAAGCGUUGUCCGGAAUUAUUGGGCGUAAAGGGAGCGCAGGCGGGAAGGUAAGUCGGUCUUAAAAGUGCGGGGCUCAACCCCGUGAUGGGAUCGAAACUAUCUUUCUUGAGUGCAGGAGAGGAAAGUGGAAUUCCUAGUGUAGCGGUGAAAUGCGUAGAUAUUAGGAGGAACACCAGUGGCGAAGGCGACUUUCUGGACUGUAACUGACGCUGAGGCUCGAAAGCCAGGGGAGCAAACGGGAUUAGAAACCCGAGUAGUCC
RNAcentral lists this ribosomal RNA (450 nucleotides) under uncultured bacterium. RNAcentral's name for it is "partial 16S ribosomal RNA". It matches the Rfam family "Bacterial small subunit ribosomal RNA", at positions 354 to 796 of the family's 1533-position model. The record is from RNAcentral.